Molecule: microRNA precursor, 94 nt
Filed under: Columba livia (rock pigeon)
Lineage: Eukaryota; Metazoa; Chordata; Aves; Columbiformes; Columbidae
Description: microRNA cli-mir-2970 precursor
Rfam family: mir-2970 microRNA precursor family (bases 9-88)
Source: miRBase by way of RNAcentral
ACAGCUCCUGCCCUGCGGACAGUCAGCAGUUGGUCUGGUGUGAGCAGCGAUUCUCAGAUCACCUCUUGGCUGUGGGUGGUGCAGGGAGCACCCC